AUGUCUCACAUAGCAAUUUUCUUCCUCACCAUCAAAAUGAUCAAAAGAAGAACUCUGCACCAAGAGGGACCUUCACUUCCACUUGUUGUGAGUGUUGUCUCACUGUCAACAUAUUUGCCUACAUUUCUAUCCAAGGGCCUAUCUGCCGUGAUUCAAGACCUACACACAAAGAUGGGCAGUGUGUUCACAAUAAGUCUUUUUGGGCUGAAGAAGGUGACCUUCCUGGUUGGACCAGAGGUCACAGCCCAUUUCUUCCAAGGCUCGGAAUCGGAGAUAAGGCAGUCCAAUAUCUACAAAGUCACGGUGCCCGUUUUUGGCCGAGGGGUUUUGUACGAUGUGGACUUGGCUACUAGGAGCAGGCAGAUUAGCUUUUAUCUCGAUUCGAUAAAGCCAAUGAACUUGAGAGGCCACGUUGAUUCCAUGGUUAAGGAAGUGGAGGACUACUUCACAAAAUGGGGGCAGCAUGGUGUCGUUGACAUAAAGCAUGAGAUGGGGAACCUAAUCUUGCUGAUCGCAAAUCGAUGCUUGCUUGGAAAACAGUUCCGAGAGAAUAUGUUUGAAGAAGUAUCCACGCUCGCUCAUGGUAUUUUUUAUAAUGGCUUCCACUUGAUCAGCCUCUUCUUCCCAUAUCUACCUAUCCCACCACACCGUCGUCGUGACAAAGCUCGUGCUAAGCUGGGAGAGAUGAUCCAUGAGGUCGUGAGAUCACGUAGGAGUUCAGGCCAGGCUGAGAAUGAUGUGCUACAGAAAUUUGUAGACUCCAAAUACAUCAAUGGCCGCUCCAUGACUGAGAAUGAGAUCGCGGGGCUGCUCAUUUGUAUGAUGUUUGCAGCACAACACACGAGCUCCGCCACCAGUACCUGUACAGGAGCUUGUCUGCUCAGUCAUGAAGAAAGCUACUUGGCUGCUGCUAUCGAAGAGCAGAAACGGAUCAUGGAACGUCAUGGGGAACAUAUAGACUACACCAUCUUGCAAGAGAUGGGAACCUUGCAUUGCUGCAUCAAAGAGGCACUGAGGUUGCACUCUCCAGCAAUUCUGCUGAUCCGCCAUGCAAGCAAGAGCUACAGUGUGCAAACAAGAGAAGGCAAUAGAAUUGAUAUCCCUCAAGGACAUACCUUAGCAACCUGCACUACAGUUAGCAGCAAGCUACCAUACAUCUAUAUGGAUCCGGAUGUAUAUGAUCCAAGUAGGUUUGGUCCAGGGAGAGAGGAAGACAAAGUUGGUGGCAAGUUCUCUUAUACACCAUUUAGCGCUGGGAGGCACUUCUGCUUGGGAGAGGAUUUUGCUUACACGCAAAUUAAGGUGAUAUGGAGCCAUUUGCUGAGGAACUUUGAGCUCGAAUUGAUCUCCCCUUUCCCGAAGGAGGAAUGGGACAAAUUCAUUCCAGGGCCUAAAGGUAAAGUGAUGGUUAGUUACAAGAGACGAAGAAUCAUGUGA
Molecule: ribosomal RNA, 1437 nt
Filed under: Triticum aestivum (bread wheat)
Lineage: Eukaryota; Viridiplantae; Streptophyta; Magnoliopsida; Poales; Poaceae
Description: partial small subunit ribosomal RNA
Source: RNAcentral